Molecule: long non-coding RNA, 1692 nt
Organism: Esox lucius (northern pike)
Lineage: Eukaryota; Metazoa; Chordata; Actinopteri; Esociformes; Esocidae
Exons: 2
Source: RefSeq, a predicted model, not a curated record
CUCAAAACUUUCCUUUUCAACUUUUUUGGAAAGGAAAGAAAAAAGUGCAGUGGUCUCUUUAUUUUUUCCAGAGCUCCAUGUUCUGAAUCUUUCAGUGAGGUCUUUCUGUAACAUAUUAAAGGGACAUUGUCGGUUAAAGGUUAAAUGUACCUUUGUCUUUGACUAAACAAAAAAAUUACCUUACACACACAAGAGUGAAAAUAAGGCCACGUAGAUAUAUAUACAUUUUCCUUUUGAUAUUUUAACACCAGUUCAGUUUCCAAGCUUCAUACAGUGCUUUGAGAUGUAAAUACAACCCCUGAAAAGUGUUUUUUUAUACAUAUUUACAAAAUGAUUAGCAACACAAUUUCUGUGUGGAGAAAAUAUAGGUAAACCCCAGAGUGCCGCUGACCAGAUGUUUUUCGUACAAAUCUCUGUAACUCUUUCUUAGAUAUUGGGACCAGUGUGACUGGCACUGACAGUGAAAUGAAUUAAUUCAAAUGAAAGCACAUUUUAUUAAUUGAGAAUAAUGAGUAAGACGGUGUAGUUGCUUAGGUCACUGCAUUUGCUUAUUCUAAUAUUCAGAAGCACAUUAAGUGAAUCCCUGGAUGCCUGUCUGCCUGCCUUAUAUAGCAAGGCAUGGCCCAAUGACUCUGUAGGAUGGAUCAGUUUUUGUGUAGGUGAGGGGGUACUUCAUCAUUUGCCCAGAAGCCCUCUUACCUUCUUAUAGUGCCUUCUGUCCAUAGAAUGUAUACAGGACCUACAUAAUAAGGUGUCUUCUGUCCUCUGGCACAUUGUUGUUGUAUAGAAUGUAUACAGGACCUACAUAAUAAGGUGUCUUCUGUCCUCUGGCACAUUGUUGUUGUAUAGAAUGUAUACAGGACCUACAUAAUAAGGUGUCUUCUGUCCUCUGGCACAUUGUUGUUGUAUAGAAUGUAUACAGGACCUACAUAAUAAGGUGUCUUCUGCCUAGACUCACUCUGUUUAAUGGUUAAAUUAAAAAAAUAUAAUAAAAUAGUUUACUUGCCGUUGAGUCUGGACAAGUGUUGUUUUAUUCGAUUUUCUUUUUUUAAACUAAUAGAGAACCAAUUCUCUUUUUUUUUUAAUGACGUCCUGGCCAAAGGCAUAUCAUUGCAAGAUGACAAGAAAUAGACACAGAACCGCGUCAGUCAUUAAAAAUAUACAUACAAAUAAGCUAUAUACAAUCGAACAGACAAUAGCCAUACAAUUCCAGUAAAUGCAGUGAUGCCUGAAGAGAUUUAAUGGAUUUGCUUUGAUCCGAUGGAUCAGUUCUAUGCUGGGAGGGUGGAGGGACCAGCCGGACUCUGUGGCCCUGGUUGAUACUUGUAGUGCAUUGGGUGUUGGGCCCUCGGGGUCUGACGUGUCAUGUACUGUGCAUAAGUGGUACUUUGUCCAGGAAAUAAGUGAAGACUUCCUGUACAUGUGACUUACGUAUGUCCGUACGUGUAGCGAAGAUCUUUUUAUUUUAUCUGUUUUGGUUACGUCGAUAUCUUUGCUGGCACACUUUUUAUUUUAUUUUUUUACUUAUGUUGCAUUUGUCCAAACUAAAUACGGUGCAUGUAUAGUCUACGCUAUUUUAUAUGUAAUUAAUUGUGUAUGUAAGAUUGAAAGAUUUUGUCCAAAUUAAAUUAUAAUGGCAUGUUUUAACAUGGAAAUAAGGUGUUGGGCUUAAUAAAUGUUUUCUACUGUUCA